UACUGUAUCUUCUCUGGGAUUAGCUGGCAGAGGAGGAAGAGAGGAGGAAGAGAGCAGCCUUCCAUUUUCCUCAAGGGGGGAAGUGACUGGUCGUGGAGGAGGAAGUAGGAGAGGAGAGCAGGAAAAGGCGUCCCGUCGUCACAGGGUGCGGGGAGCAAACACGACAGGGCGCACGAAGCCACUGAUGAAGUUUGCCGGGAUUCCUGCCAGCGUUGACUGAGCCUUGAUCGAGGGCCACACAGCGGGUAGCACUGUUGCCUCACAGUUGCUGGGUUUGUAUCCUGGUCCAGGUUUGCAUGUUUCUCGCUCUGUGUGAGUGGGUUUUCUCCGGGUUCUUCCCACAUCGUCCAAAAACAUGCAGAAGUCUGGCUCCAUGUCUGUGGAUGUGCAGCACAUGAUGAUCUUCAGGGCGACGGACUUUCUUCAGGAACUCUUUCACACACCAACAUAAUGUUCCAGCUCACUCAAGUAUACAGACGCAAAAUAUCCCCUCACCUGUUGUCACACCCCUUUAAAGGUCAUUACACCAUUCUAAUGACCAGAGCCACAUCAUAAUAACAACAGUGUAGCCUAAU
Long non-coding RNA from Solea solea (common sole), 575 nucleotides. RefSeq lists it as uncharacterized. The transcript has 4 exons. The record is from RefSeq and is a predicted model, not a curated record. Lineage: Eukaryota; Metazoa; Chordata; Actinopteri; Pleuronectiformes; Soleidae.